GUGUAAUUUUAUAAUGUUUUCAUUGUGCGUGUUCGGACUAUUAGGAUUAUUGGUUUUAUUGUGUGUAAUCGGACUACUAGAUUUACUAGAUUUAUUGUGUAUAAUCAAACUAUUACAAUUAAUGGGUUUAUCGUGUGUAAUUAGGAUUACUGGAUUUUAUUAUGUAUAAUUUGAAACUCCUAUAUAUUACAAGUAGUACAUAUAUUUAUCAUAUAUAACCAAUAUAUUAUUUAUUAGUAGACUAUGUAUGUAGUAAAUAAGACUAUUAAAACUAUUUAGAUAAUUGUUUUUCUAAAGUUUUAGGAAUAUUUAUUAUUUUUUGAAAAUGCUUCCUUAACUUUCAUGGUAGUUAUGUGAAUCGUAAAGAUAUAAUAUAUAGAAUUUAUAAAAAU
Molecule: long non-coding RNA, 392 nt
Filed under: Brassica napus (rape)
Lineage: Eukaryota; Viridiplantae; Streptophyta; Magnoliopsida; Brassicales; Brassicaceae
Description: long non-coding RNA (BNAP_LNC025069)
Source: RNAcentral